CACGUAGGAGGCGAGCGUUGUCCGGAAUCAUUGGGCGUAAAGAGCGCGCAGGCGGCUUGGCAAGUCGGGUGUGAAAUCCCGGGGCUCAACCCGGUGACUGCAUCCGAUACUGUCAGGCUAGAGGUAGGUAGGGGAGAUCGGAAUUCCUGGUGUAGCGGUGAAAUGCGCAGAUAUCGGGAGGAACACCCGUAGCGAAGGCGGUUCUCUGGGCCAAUACUGACGCUGAGGAGCGAAAGCGUGGGGAGCAAACAGG
RNAcentral lists this ribosomal RNA (253 nucleotides) under uncultured bacterium. RNAcentral describes it as "partial 16S ribosomal RNA". It matches the Rfam family "Bacterial small subunit ribosomal RNA", at positions 524 to 776 of the family's 1533-position model. The record is from RNAcentral.